GGGCGCGUAGCUCAGCGGGAGAGCACCGUCUUCACACGGCGGGGGUCGCUGGUUCAAUCCCAGCCGCGCCCACCA
Molecule: transfer RNA, 75 nt
Filed under: Betaproteobacteria bacterium
Lineage: Bacteria; Pseudomonadati; Pseudomonadota; Betaproteobacteria
Also listed under: 11 other names
Description: tRNA-Val
Rfam family: tRNA
About the family: Transfer RNA (tRNA) molecules are approximately 80 nucleotides in length.
Source: RNAcentral